This 73-nucleotide transfer RNA is filed under the name Ursus americanus (American black bear). It matches the Rfam family "tRNA". From Rfam's summary of the family: Transfer RNA (tRNA) molecules are approximately 80 nucleotides in length. The record is from Rfam by way of RNAcentral. Lineage: Eukaryota; Metazoa; Chordata; Mammalia; Carnivora; Ursidae. RNAcentral also lists the same sequence under 1 other name.
GCCCGGCUGGCUCAGCCAUUAGAGCAUAUGACUCUUGAUUUCAGGGUUGUGAGUUCGAGCCUCACGUCAGGUG